Camelus dromedarius (Arabian camel) is the source of this 107-nucleotide small nuclear RNA. NCBI's taxonomy places the organism in Eukaryota, Metazoa, Chordata, Mammalia, Artiodactyla, Camelidae. The record is from Ensembl.
GUGCUGGCUUCAGCAGCACAUAUACUGAAACUGGAAGGAUACAGAGAAGAUUAGCGUGGCCCCUGUGCAAAGAUAACACACAAAGUCGUGAAGUGGUCCAUAUUUUU